RNAcentral lists this ribosomal RNA (425 nucleotides) under uncultured bacterium. RNAcentral describes it as "bacterial SSU rRNA". It matches the Rfam family "Bacterial small subunit ribosomal RNA", at positions 354 to 796 of the family's 1533-position model. The record is from RNAcentral.
GUGGGGAAUAUUGGACAAUGGGCGCAAGCCUGAUCCAGCAAUGCCGCGUGUGUGAAGAAGGUCUUCGGAUCGUAAAGCACUUUCGACGGGGACGAUGAUGACGGUACCCGUAGAAGAAGCCCCGGCUAACUUCGUGCCAGCAGCCGCGGUAAUACGAAGGGGGCUAGCGUUGCUCGGAAUUACUGGGCGUAAAGGGCGCGUAGGCGGCUCUGUUAGUCAGGCGUGAAAUUCCUGGGCUUAACCUGGGGACUGCGCUUGAUACUGCAGGGCUUGAGGCCGAGAGAGGGUGGUGGAAUUCCCAGUGUAGAGGUGAAAUUCGUAGAUAUUGGGAAGAACACCGGUGGCGAAGGCGACCACCUGGCUCGGUUCUGACGCUGAGGCGCGACAGCGUGGGGAGCAAACAGGAUUAGAAACCCUGGUAGUCC